This 406-nucleotide ribosomal RNA is filed under the name uncultured bacterium. RNAcentral's name for it is "partial 16S ribosomal RNA". It matches the Rfam family "Bacterial small subunit ribosomal RNA", at positions 30 to 526 of the family's 1533-position model. The record is from RNAcentral.
AUUGAACGCUGGCGGCAGGCUUAACACAUGCAAGUCGAGCGAGCGGCGGACGGGUGAGUAAUGUCUGGGACACAGCUUGAUGGAGGGGGAUAAAAACUGGAAACGGUAGCUAAUAAUGCAUACCAUCAGAUGUGCCCAGAUGGGAUUAGCUAGUAGGUGGGGUAAUGGCCCACCUAGGCGACGAUCCCUAGCUGGUCUGAGAGGAUGACCAGCAACACUGGAGCUGAGACACGGCCCAGACUCCUACGGGAGGCAGCAGUGGGGAAUAUUGCACAAUGGGCGCAAGCCUGAUGCAACCAUGCCACGUGGGGUGAGAAGGCCUUGGGGUUGGAAAGCUCUUUCAGCGAGGAGGCGUUACUCGAAGAAUAAGCACCGGCUAACUCCGUGCCAGCAGCCGCGGUAAUAC